ACAUCCAGAGAACUUGGCAGAGAUGCCUUUGGUGCCUUCGGGACCUCUGAGACAGGUGCUGCAUGGCUGUCGUCAGCUCGUGUUGUGAAAUGUUGGGUUAAGUCCCGNAACGAGCGCAACCCUAUCCUUUGUUGCCAGCGAUUCGGUCGGGAACUCAAAGGAGACUGCCGGUGAUAAACCGGAGGAAGGUGGGGAUGACGUCAAGUCAUCAUGGCCCUUACGAGUAGGGCUACACACGUGCUACAAUGGCGCAUACAAAGAGAAGCGACCUCGCGAGAGCAAGCGGACCUCAUAAAGUGCGUCGUAGUCCGGAUCGGAGUCUGCAACUCGACUCCGUGAAGUCGGAAUCGCUAGUAAUCGUAGAUCAGAAUGCUACGGUGAAUACGUUCCCGGGCCUUGUACACACCGCCCGUCACACCAUGGGAGUGGGUUGCAAAAGAAGUAGAUAGCUUAACCUUCGGGAGGGCGUUUACCACUUUGUGAUUCAUGACUGGGGUGAAGUCGUAACAAGGUAGGCGUAGCGAG
Molecule: ribosomal RNA, 525 nt
Filed under: uncultured bacterium
Lineage: Bacteria
Description: bacterial SSU rRNA
Rfam family: Bacterial small subunit ribosomal RNA
Source: RNAcentral